Molecule: long non-coding RNA, 2479 nt
Organism: Juglans microcarpa x Juglans regia
Lineage: Eukaryota; Viridiplantae; Streptophyta; Magnoliopsida; Fagales; Juglandaceae
Exons: 2
Source: RefSeq, a predicted model, not a curated record
UGUUGGGGCAAGGUAGGGGUACCCUAGGUAGGGGAACUCACACUAGAAUCUGCCGGAUAUUCCAUAAACUCAACGAUGACAAGAAAUUUGAAAUUAUAGUAAACAUGCCAAACAAUGAACAUCCAACCAAGUUCCAUGCAUUACAAAUGAACAUUCACAAACAUGCAUUACAAAACGGAUUUUUCAGCUUUUCUAUUCUUUUGCCCCGAAGUUCCUUCCACCACCAAUUCGUUUAAGAAAAACCUCGGGGGGAAAAAAAAUCGUUUAAAAAAAAAAAGAAAAGUUUCCCUUUUCAAUUUUGUACUUUCUAAAAAAAAUAAAAAAUCUUAUGAAAGAGUACGUAUAUAUUACUCUUAAAAGGUAAUAUCCCAUCAAGGAUUAACAGGUAAAGGAAAUUGAGGAUUUUUUUCCCAAUUUAGUUCAUACAGCUUCAUUUGAUUUUAUGCACACCGAAACCCAAAAAAAUAAACUUCAAAUUCUCAAACAAUAAACUUCAAAUGGUCUCUAACUCUAUGCAUACUGAAACCCUAAAAAAUUUCAAUCAAAGUUCAAACAAUUCACAUGCACAUUCAUCCUCCAUAGCACACAAUUCACAAUCUCAUUUAAUCCCAUCCUCCAUCGACCAUAUUGCAUAAAUUAUUAAAAAAAAAAAAAAGCUAGAUGAGAUUAAGAGAAAUCGGUCUUACCUUCGUUGUGACAGACAGCGACUUCAGCGAGAUUGACAAACAGCGAUGACGGUGAAGACGGCGACAACUCACGACUGUAUCACAGAUGGCAAGAGGACUUACGGUGGGUGAAGGGGGGAAACUUGCUGGCCGUUGGGAUUCAGGAGGGUUAAGGGCUUUAGGAUCGUGAAAAGAGGGAGGGGGAGGGGGGGGGGGGGGGAAGGUUGAAGGGUUACAAAUACAAGGCUCAAAACGGCACCAUUUUGAUUAUGGGGGGUUGUUAAAAAAAACUCAGGCAUCAAAUUAAAACGGCGUCGUUUUGAUGCCUAGGUUUUUCUUUUUAAUUAACAUAUAUUAUAAAUAUAUAAAAUAUUAUAUAUAUAUGGGCAGCGGGGUAGGGUGAGGUAUUUGCGGGACGGGGAUCACCCUCAUCCCGCCCCCCCUUGCUGGGGGCUCCAAAUGCGGGUAGGGCCACCCCUGCCCCGCAUCUGGCAGAUGGGGGAUCCGCCCUCCCACAAGGGAGUGGGGAGGACGGGGGGCGGGGCCCCGCUGCCCACCCCUAACAAACUCUUCCGAAUAAGAUCUUUGUCAACACAAUGAAAGAUGGACAUUAUUAAUUUGCAGGAAACUAAGUUGAAGCUUAUUACAAGAAGAACUAUACGGAGUAUGUGAAGCUGCCAGUAUGUAGGAUGUCAUACUUACCUUUGAAAGGGGCUUCGGGUGGAGUUUUGGUUAUGUGAGAUAAAAGGAUGAUGGAGAACAUUGAUAAAAUUUGUGGGAGAAUAUUCGGUGGGGUGUUCUUUUUAAAAUUUUGAAGAUGGUUUUGUAUGGGCCUUUGUUGGGGUUUAUGACCCUAAUUUGGAUUGCGAGCGGCAGUUGCUUUGGGAUGAGCUUGCAAGCUUAUGUAUUUGGUGGGAGAUUUCAUGGUGUAUUGGUGGAGGUUUUAAUGUGAUAAAAUUUCCUAGCGAAAGAUCAGGGGAGGGACGAAAAAAUCAUGCUAUGCUGGAAUUCUCGGAUCUCAUAUUCAAACUGGAACUCAUGGACUUACUUCUUAUGGGAGGUGAAUAUACUUGGUCUAAUAACAAAGCCUGGUCAAGACUGGGCAGAUUCCUCAUAUCUCCUUCAUGGGAAAUGCAAUUUCCAGAUUUAUGUCAGAAAAAAGACUUUCUCUGUUAUGCUCUGAUCACUUUCCCAUAAUGUUAGACUGUGGAGGAAUUCCACGGGGUAGAAGGCCAUUCAAAUUUGAGAAUAUGUGGUUAAAAACGGAGGGGUUUGUAGAAUUGGUUAGGCAAUGGUGGAACUCAUAUCAAUUAUAGGGCACUCCGAGUAAGGUAUUGGCUGGAAAAUUGAAAGUUUUGAAGAUGGAUUUGAAGACAUGGAAUGAACAGGUAUUUGGUAAUGUAGCAUUACAAAAAAAGAAUCUCCUCCAAGAAUUACAAAGUUUGGAGGGUGUAGAAGAUGAGAACGAACACAAAGGUCAAGUAGUCUCAGAGUUAGAAAUGUUGAUUCUAAUGGAAGAGAUUUCGUGGAGGCAAAAGCAAAGGGCAUUGUAGCUUAGGGAGGGGGACAAAUGUACAAAGUUUUUUCAUCGAGUUGCAAAUUCACAUAGGAUGUUUAAUACCAUAGAGUCCAUGACCAUAGAUGGAGGUUUAUCUUCAGAUCAAGCAGUAAUAAAAGAUCAUGUUGAUGGACAUUUCGAACAAUUGUUGUCGGAACCUUAUGCAUGGAGGCCUACAGUAGAUGGUUUAGCUUUUGAGGUCAUUGAUCAAAAUAGUAUGGCUUGGUUGGAGAGAUCAUUUGAAGAGGAAGAGGUA